GAUGAACGCUAGCUACAGGCUUAACACAUGCAAGUCGAGGGGCAGCGUGGAGCAGCAAUGCUCUGACGGCGACCGGCGGAAGGGUGCGUAACACGUGAGCGACUUGCCCGUCACAGGGGGAUAACCGGCGGAAACGGCGACUAAUACCCCAUACGAUGCGAUGCUGCAUGGCAUUGCAUUGAAAGAUUCAUCGGUGGCGGAUAGGCUCGCGGGACAUUAGCUAGACGGCGGGGCAACGGCCCACCGUGGCGACGAUGUCUAGGGGUUCUGAGAGGAAGGUCCCCCACAUUGGAACUGAGACACGGUCCAAACUCCUACGGGAGGCAGCAGUGAGGAAUAUUGGUCAAUGGGCGAGAGCCUGAACCAGCCAAGUAGCGUGAAGGAUGAAGGUUCUAUGGAUCGUAAACCUCUUUUAUAAGGGAAUAAAGUGCGGGACGUGUCCCGUUUUGUAUGUACCUUAUGAAUAAGGAUCGGCUAACUCCG
RNAcentral lists this ribosomal RNA (483 nucleotides) under uncultured bacterium. RNAcentral's name for it is "bacterial SSU rRNA". It matches the Rfam family "Bacterial small subunit ribosomal RNA", at positions 28 to 505 of the family's 1533-position model. The record is from RNAcentral.